This 774-nucleotide ribosomal RNA is filed under the name human gut metagenome. Its description in RNAcentral is "bacterial SSU rRNA". It matches the Rfam family "Bacterial small subunit ribosomal RNA", at positions 8 to 810 of the family's 1533-position model. The record is from RNAcentral.
AGAGUUUGAUCCUGGCUCAGAACGAACGCUGGCGGCAGGCUUAACACAUGCAAGUUGAACGGGAUUUGUAUGGUGCUUGCACCAUGUAAUGAGAGUAGCGCACUGGUGAGUAACACGUGGGAACAUACCUUGAAGUGGGGGACAACAGUUGGAAACGACUGCUAAUACCGCAUAAUCCCUGAGGGGGAAAGAUUUAUCGCUUUAAGAUUGGCCCGCGGAAGAUUAGGUAGUUGGUGGGGUAAAGGCCUACCAAGCCGACGAUCUAUAGCUGGUCUGAGAGGACGAACAGCCACAUUGGAACUGAGACACGGUCCAGACUCCUACGGGAGGCAGCAGUGAGGAAUAUUGGGCAAUGGAGGAAACUCUGACCCAGCCAUGCCGCGUGAGUGAAGAAGGUUUUCGAAUUGUAAAGCUCUUUCGGAUGGGACGAUGAUGACGGUACCAUCUAAAGAAGCCCCGGCAAACUUCGUGCCAGCAGCCGCGGUAAUACGAAGGGGGCAAGCGUUGUUCGGAAUUACUGGGCGUAAAGGGUGUGUAGGCGGAUUUGUAAGAUAGUGGUGAAAUACCUGAGCUCAACUUAGGAAUUGCCAUUAUAACUAUAGAUCUGGAGUGACAGAGAGGAUAUUGGAAUACCCAGUGUAGAGGUGAAAUUCGUAGAUAUUGGGUAGAACACCAGUGGCGAAGGCGACUAUCUGGCUGUAUAUUGACGCUGAGGCUCGAAAGCAUGGGGAUCAAACAGGAUUAGAUACCCUGGUAGUCCAUGCUGUAAACGAU